UUUAUAUGAUGAAAUCAAACUAACUCACCGUUAAUGACACAGUGAAAACGUGAAUGCCUGAGAAGA
Molecule: small nucleolar RNA, 66 nt
Filed under: Gorilla gorilla gorilla (western lowland gorilla)
Lineage: Eukaryota; Metazoa; Chordata; Mammalia; Primates; Hominidae
Source: RNAcentral